AGAAUUAUUUUCCAAAUAUGAAGAUGAAAAGGAUAAACUAUAUGCCCGUUACGAACAACAGCGGAAGAAGGAAAAAGCUAAUCUGUCGAAACUUGAGAAGGCUUGUGCUCUGAAGAUUGCCAGAGCAGAAGAAUCUCUAAAAAAGAAGAAGCAGGAUGACAAAUCUUUCAGCAUAUUGCGCAAGUCUCUUGGCUCAUUUCUGGAAGGCGCAUCUGAUGAUGAUUUUGGGCCUGAUGAAUGAGCCUUGAUUACCGGUAACUGCUCUUGGAUAUGGGGAAGCAUAAAAUUCUGUAUAUAAACCUUAUUCCCUUUGACAUCAUCUAUCUUCUUUAACUGAAGAUUUUGCCCAAUUAUUGGACAGUGAAUUGGGAUUAAAAUUUGUCAAUGGUUCCUAGGCCCUAGAAUCUGUUUUGUUAAUAUAAGAAAUG
Non-coding RNA from Phoenix dactylifera (date palm), 428 nucleotides. Lineage: Eukaryota; Viridiplantae; Streptophyta; Magnoliopsida; Arecales; Arecaceae. The record is from RefSeq and is a predicted model, not a curated record.